GACGAACGCUGGCGGCGUGCUUAACACAUGCAAGUCGAACGGAAAGGCCCUGCUUUUGUGGGGUGCUCGAGUGGCGAACGGGUGAGUAACACGUGAGUAACCUGCCCUUGACCUUGGGAUAACUUCAGGAAACUGGGGCUAAUACCGGAUAGGAGCUCCUGCUGCAUGGUGGGGGUUGGAAAGUUUCGGCGGUUGGGGAUGGACUCGCGGCUUAUCAGCUUGUUGUGGGGUAGUGGCUUACCAAGGCUUUGACGGGUAGCCGGCCUGAGAGGGUGACCGGCCACAUUGGGACUGAGAUACGGCCCAGACUCCUACGGGAGGCAGCAGUGGGGAAUAUUGCACAAUGGGCGGAAGCCUGAUGCAGCAACGCCGCGUGCGGGAUGACGGCCUUCGGGUUGUAAACCGCUUUCGCCUGUGACGAAGCGUGAGUGACGGUAAUGGGUAAAGAAGCACCGGCUAACUACGUG
RNAcentral lists this ribosomal RNA (467 nucleotides) under uncultured bacterium. Its description in RNAcentral is "partial 16S ribosomal RNA". It matches the Rfam family "Bacterial small subunit ribosomal RNA", at positions 28 to 507 of the family's 1533-position model. The record is from RNAcentral.